UACGUAGGGUGCGAGCGUUGUCCGGAAUUAUUGGGCGUAAAGGGCUCGUAGGCGGUUUGUCACGUCAGGAGUGAAAACUCGGGGCUCAACCCCGAGCCUGCUUCUGAUACGGGCAGACUAGAGGUAUGCAGGGGAGAACGGAAUUCCUGGUGUAGCGGUGAAAUGCGCAGAUAUCAGGAGGAACACCGGUGGCGAAGGCGGUUCUCUGGGCAUUACCUGACGCUGAGGAGCGAAAGCAUGGGGAGCGAACAGG
This 253-nucleotide ribosomal RNA is filed under the name uncultured bacterium. RNAcentral's name for it is "partial 16S ribosomal RNA". It matches the Rfam family "Bacterial small subunit ribosomal RNA", at positions 524 to 776 of the family's 1533-position model. The record is from RNAcentral.